CCCUAUGGAACCCUUGGUUAACUUGUAACCAAAAACGCCAAUGAUUGAGCGGCUCCCUACGAAACCCCUAGAAGAAGAACCUCUAGAAACACCGAUGAACGGGAAAUAAAUUUGAAUAUUUGCAACUCCGAAAUACCCUCGAAAGUAACAAACUCCAAACUAAAUAGCAAGAGAAGAAUCACUCUACUCUAAAAAAAUUUGCCUCACACAAAUUUGAAAGAAAAC
Molecule: long non-coding RNA, 225 nt
Filed under: Gossypium barbadense (sea-island cotton)
Lineage: Eukaryota; Viridiplantae; Streptophyta; Magnoliopsida; Malvales; Malvaceae
Description: long non-coding RNA (GBAR_LNC022702)
Source: RNAcentral